GUGUCAGCAGCCGCGGUAAUACGGGGGGAGCGAACGUUGUUCGGAAUCACUGGGCGUAAAGGGCGCGCAGGCGGCUCGGUUAGUGGAAUGUGAAAUGCCCUGGCUCAACCAGGGAACUGCAUUCCAUACUGCCGAGCUUGAGUAUAGGAGAGGAUGGGGGAAUUCCCGGUGUAGCGGUGGAAUGCAUUGAUAUCGGGAGGAACACCAGUGGCGAAGGCGCCCAUCUGGCCUAAUACUGACGCUCAAGCGCGAAAGCUAGGGGAGCAAACAGGAUUAGAAACCCGAGUAGUCC
This 292-nucleotide ribosomal RNA is filed under the name uncultured bacterium. RNAcentral describes it as "partial 16S ribosomal RNA". It matches the Rfam family "Bacterial small subunit ribosomal RNA", at positions 505 to 796 of the family's 1533-position model. The record is from RNAcentral.